UCGCUUAGCAGUUGGGUUGGGGGGGACGGCGCAGAGACUGAGGGGCCGCGACCCCCUCCGUUACCACGGAGUGCCCCGCAGCGCUGGGGGCCGGGGCUGAAGGCCGCAGCGGGGCUUAGGGGGGCUCAGGGCCUUCGGGAGGGGCCGUUCGGCACAGAGCGCGGCCCCCUCCGGGCUGAGAGCGUUAUGCCUGGGAGAAAGGCAGAAAAAAU
This 212-nucleotide long non-coding RNA is filed under the name Gallus gallus (chicken). Lineage: Eukaryota; Metazoa; Chordata; Aves; Galliformes; Phasianidae. The record is from RNAcentral.